AGUCCACCGAACGGCCGGCAGGCGAUCCGCGUCGUCGAGCGUGGUUUUAUGGUUCGCCAGAGGCUGGUUCUUGUGUUGCCUACCCCUUCAAGGGAAGAAGGCCGCUUGACUUUUAAGCCUCCAUCCGGCGCCCUCCAACGGGCGCAGGAGGACAACGUAGCNCCCCCCGCGUUCCACCGAGCCUUCANCGGUCGCGUGGCCCGUGGGGACGUGCGGUGCUCUCGGACCCAGNGCACGCCGUGGGCGAGGACUCACGUCCCAGUCCCAAGAGAAAGCCUCUACAUAACGUUGACGGCCGCUCCCGCCCCCCGACCGCCCCGGCGGCGCGGGGGCGAAGGCGCGGCGUCGCGGAGGAAUGCUACCU
Molecule: unclassified non-coding RNA, 364 nt
Filed under: Acacia aculeatissima
Lineage: Eukaryota; Viridiplantae; Streptophyta; Magnoliopsida; Fabales; Fabaceae
Description: partial external transcribed spacer
Source: RNAcentral